AGAGUUUGAUCCUGGCUCAGAAUCAACGCUGGCGGCGUGCCUAACACAUGCAAGUCGAACGCGAAAGUCCCGCAAGGGAUCAGUAGAGUGGCAAACGGGUGAGUAACGCGUGGGCGACCUACCUUCGAGUGGGGGAUAACCUUCCGAAAGGAGGGCUAAUACCGCAUGACAUUCCGUGUUUGGACACACGGGUAUCAAAGCCGGGGAUCGCAAGACCUGGCGCUUGAAGAGGGGCCCGCGUCCGAUUAGCUAGUUGGUGGGGUAAUGGCUCACCAAGGCUCCGAUCGGUAUCCGGCCUGAGAGGGCGGACGGACACACUGGGACUGAGACACGGCCCAGACUCCUACGGGAGGCAGCAGUGGGGAAUUGUUCGCAAUGGGCGCAAGCCUGACGACGCAACGCCGCGUGGAGGAUGAAGACCUUCGGGUCGUAAACUCCUUUCGACCGAGAUGAAUUCCCGCCGGCCUAACACGCUGGCGGGUUGACAGUAUCGAGGGAAGCA
RNAcentral lists this ribosomal RNA (502 nucleotides) under uncultured bacterium. Its description in RNAcentral is "bacterial SSU rRNA". It matches the Rfam family "Bacterial small subunit ribosomal RNA", at positions 8 to 489 of the family's 1533-position model. The record is from RNAcentral.